RNAcentral lists this long non-coding RNA (839 nucleotides) under Homo sapiens (human). RNAcentral's name for it is "HSALNT0369304". The record is from RNAcentral. Lineage: Eukaryota; Metazoa; Chordata; Mammalia; Primates; Hominidae.
CCGCCCGCCCCCCGGAUCACGGGCUUCGGCCACGCCCUCUUCCCGUCACGUGACGGUGCGCGGAGGCGGUGGUGGAGUUGCUUCCCCUGCUAGGCGGGCUCGAACCGGGCGGGAGUCACUGUCCACCUUGCUUCGCCAGGGUGUUAUCGCCAGCCAGUCCCCUUCCGCAUGCCCAAGGGCAGCCUCAGGAAGCGAGCCCACCACCGUCGGCCCAGCGCCUGUUGAUCGGCCAGGCCUUCUGGGCCGGUCAUACUGGGCCCUUCCUAACCUGAGGAGAUUGCACAGUAGGGCUCCCUGGUCUGGUCAGGGCUCAGUUAGGACCCCUCUCCAGCCUUAGGCUUGGUGAAAGCUUUAGCGAAACAGAAAAAAGAACGCAUCGUGGUGUAGAGUGUAUGGCCUAAGAAGCAUUCGCUCCACUCAAAAAAAAGAAAGUCCUAAUGCAAGUAAUUGAAAGUGAAGAUAUUGCAAAACAAAUAAUGACAGCUGAAUUGAUGAUAUGAUGACAGGCUCAUCCCUCCAUUGUAAACUAUGCUGCGUAAGAUAUGCCUGCUUCCUGUUUGCCUUAUGCCAUGAUUGUAAGUUUCCUGAGGCCUCCCCAGCCAUGCUUCUAUACAGCCUGUGGAACCAUGGGUCGAUUAAACCUCUUUUCAUUACAAAUUACCCAGUCUCAAGUAGUUCUUUAUAGCAAUGCAAAAACGGACAAAUACAUGGAUUGUUUUUGGAUUCUGAAGAUUCAGUGCUAUGGAUUUCACAUGAGUUUGGCUAUUUUGAUUAAAAUGUGGCUGUUUGUCUUUCCAUCUCUGCUUUGUUUCAUAUUUCAGACUCUGGCUCUCACUCAC